AUUGAACGCUGGCGGCAGGCCUAACACAUGCAAGUCGAACGGUAACAGGAAGAAGCUUGCUUCUUUGCUGACGAGUGGCGGACGGGUGAGUCAUGUCUGGGAAACUGCCUGAUGGAGGGGGAUAACUACUGGAAACGGUAGCUAAUACCGCAUAACGUCGCAAGACCAAAAAGGGGGACCUUCGGGCCUCUUGCCAUCGGAUGUGCCCAGAUGGGAUUAGCUAGUAGGUGGGGUAACGGCUCACCUAGGCGACGAUCCCUAGCUGGUCUGAGAGGAUGACCGGCCACACUGGAACUGAGACACGGUCCAGACUCCUAGGGGAGGCAGCAGGGGGGAAUAUUGCGCAAUGGGCGAAAGCCUGACGGAGCAACGCCGCGUGAGUGAAGAAGGUCUUCGGAUUGUAAAAUUCUUUCAUGGGGGAAGAAGGAAUGAGUAAGAAACUAUGCACGUAUUGACGUUACCUAAAAAGAAAGCCCCGGCUAACUACGUG
RNAcentral lists this ribosomal RNA (490 nucleotides) under uncultured bacterium. RNAcentral's name for it is "partial 16S ribosomal RNA". It matches the Rfam family "Bacterial small subunit ribosomal RNA", at positions 30 to 507 of the family's 1533-position model. The record is from RNAcentral.